This 253-nucleotide ribosomal RNA is filed under the name uncultured bacterium. RNAcentral's name for it is "partial 16S ribosomal RNA". It matches the Rfam family "Bacterial small subunit ribosomal RNA", at positions 524 to 776 of the family's 1533-position model. The record is from RNAcentral.
UACGAGGGGCGCAAACUUUAUUCGGAAUUACUGGGCUUAAAGAGUUCGUAGGCGGCGCAGAAAGUAGGGUGUGAAAGCCCUCGGCUUAACCGAGGAAUUGCGCUCUAAACUACUGUGCUUGAGGAACCUAGAGGUGAGCAGAACUGAUGGUGGAGCGGUGAAAUGCGUUGAUAUCAUCAGGAAUACCGGAGGCGAAGGCGGCUCACUGGGGGUUUUCUGACGCUGAGGAGCGAAAGCCAGGGGAGCAAACGGG